GUUAGGAAUAUUGGACAAUGGGCGCAAGCCUGAUCCAGCCAUGCCGCGUGAGUGAUGAAGGCCUUCGGGUUGUAAAGCUCUUUAGCCGAUGAUUAUAAUGACUGUAGUCGGAAAAUAAGCCCCGGCUAACUUCGUGCCAGCAGCCGCGGUAAUAAGAAGGGGGCGAGUGGUAUUCGGAAUCACUGGGCGUAAAGCGUGCGUAGGCGGCUUUGCAAGUUGGGAGUGAAAGCACAGGGCUCAACCCUGGAAUUGCUCUCAAAACUGCAAGGCUCGAAUUCUAGAUAGGAUAUCGGAAUUGGCAGUGUAGCAGUGAAAUGCGUAGAUAUUGACAGUAACACCAGUGGCGUAAGCGGCUAUCUGGACGAGUAUUGACGCUGAGGCACGAAAGCGUGGGGAUCAAACAGGAUUAGAUACCCGAGUAGUCC
RNAcentral lists this ribosomal RNA (425 nucleotides) under uncultured bacterium. RNAcentral's name for it is "bacterial SSU rRNA". It matches the Rfam family "Bacterial small subunit ribosomal RNA", at positions 354 to 796 of the family's 1533-position model. The record is from RNAcentral.